AUUUACGGAAUGUCGGUAAAUAAAAUAAAGAGAAAUCAUAUAUCAACGAAAAUGAUUGUGGUAGAUGUCAUUGUGAUUAGCAUAGCUUAACUAGCACAUCCAAUAGUAAAAAAAAAAAAAAAAGUGAAGUAUCUAUCUACUUGUAUAGUUUAUGAAGAAUUAGAAUUAGUAGUUUGGCUUUAUUUCAAUCUGGUGGUUGGAGAUUAGUUUUCUCAGACAGUGGAAAUUUCCUGAUCUAUUUAGCCUUGUUUAUUAUAAAACUAACAAAAACCAAUAAUUGCCAGCUAAUAGCGAAAUUAAAAUAACAAAACUCGAAAGAAAAGAAAAUAAUAACGAAGAUAUUGAAAUGGUCCCUUCUGAACAAAGCCCACCUCCAACGACUACUUUUAUUCACUAUAAAACCAACUCUUUUCCAUGCAGAAACACAAUCAAUCACUUCUUCUUCUUCUUCUUCUUUCUCAAAAACCAAAAAACAUUUUUCUCCAAUUAUUUCAUCUUUGAUAGUAUUGGAGAAACAAAAACAGUCUUGACCGAGACUGAAUAUUAUCAGGUGAAGAAUGGCGACUCCGGCAUGGAGUCAUGCCAAGGCCCAAUGGGUUGUCGCCAUGUUGGCGCUACUCGUUGGCUCGGCUAUGGCUACCGAACCUUACUACUAUAGCUCUCCUCCCCCACCUUACGUGUAUAAAUCUCCCCCGCNNN
RNAcentral lists this long non-coding RNA (699 nucleotides) under Capsella rubella. Its description in RNAcentral is "long non-coding RNA (CRUB_LNC003409)". The record is from RNAcentral. Lineage: Eukaryota; Viridiplantae; Streptophyta; Magnoliopsida; Brassicales; Brassicaceae.